AGAGUUUGAUCCUGGCUCAGGAUGAACGCUGGCGGUAUGCUUAACACAUGCAAGUCGAACGGAGUACUUCGGUACUUAGUGGCGGACGGGUGAGUAACGCGUGAGAAUCUGCCUUCAGGUUCGGGACAACCACUGGAAACGGUGGCUAAUACCGAAUGUGCAGCAAUGUGAAAAAUUUAUUGCCUGAAGAUGAGCUCGCGUCUGAUUAGCUAGUAGGUGUGGUAAGAGCGCACCUAGGCGACGAUCAGUAGCUGGUCUGAGAGGAUGAUCAGCCACACUGGGACUGAGACACGGCCCAGACUCCUACGGGAGGCAGCAGUGGGGAAUUUUCCGCAAUGGGCGAAAGCCUGACGGAGCAAUACCGCGUGAGGGAGGAAGGCUCUUGGGUUGUAAACCUCUUUUCUCAAGGAAGAAAAAAAUGACGGUACUUGAGGAAUAAGCAUCGGCUAACUCCGUGCCAGCAGCCGCGGUAAUACGGAGGAUGCAAGCGUUAUCCGGAAUGAUUGGGCGUAAAGCGUCCGCAGGUGGCUAUGUAAGUCUGCUGUUAAAGAGUCUGGCUCAACCAGAUAAAGGCAGUGGAAACUACAUGGCUAGAGUGCGUUCGGGGCAGAGGGAAUUCCUGGUGUAGCGGUGAAAUGCGUAGAGAUCAGGAAGAACACCGGUGGCGAAAGCGCUCUGCUAGGCCGCAACUGACACUGAGGGACGAAAGCUAGGGGAGCGAAUGGGAUUAGAUACCCCUGUAGUCC
Molecule: ribosomal RNA, 746 nt
Filed under: uncultured cyanobacterium
Lineage: Bacteria; Bacillati; Cyanobacteriota
Description: bacterial SSU rRNA
Rfam family: Bacterial small subunit ribosomal RNA
Source: RNAcentral